Molecule: ribosomal RNA, 238 nt
Filed under: uncultured fungus
Lineage: Eukaryota; Fungi
Description: partial 18S small subunit ribosomal RNA
Rfam family: Eukaryotic small subunit ribosomal RNA
Source: RNAcentral
GCUACCACAUCCAAGGAAGGCAGCAGGCGCGCAAAUUACCCAAUCCUGACACAGGGGAGGUAGUGACAAAAAAUAACAAUACCGGGCCUUUUAGGUCUGGGUAAUUGGAAUGAGUACAAUUUAAAUCCCUUAACGAGUAUCCAUUGGAGGGCAAGUCUGGUGCCAGCCAGCCGGGUAAAAUUCCAGCUCCAAUAGCGUAUAUUAAAGUUGCUGCAGUUUAAAAAAGCUCGUAGUUGGA